UCAGCCGCCACCGACUCCUUCAACGGGAAACGACUCGUGUGUAGAAACCAAGACUCGCCCAACAUCAGCCGGUACAACCCUGAAAUCCAUCGGAACUAUAAGAACAUAUGAUGCGAUGGCGCACACGCUCCUCAUUCUCCUUCCUCUCGUCCUCCAUCACUGACCGAUCCUCUGCUGUUUUUCAGUAACGAUACUGUUCCAAAAGAUCCAUUCAUGGACUCAUAAAAUGACAACGUUGGCGGGGUGGGCCGUUGUGGUUAUAUACCCCGGGAGGCAAUAUUGGUUAUAUAUAGUUCUGUUUAGAGACAACCCGGCAAGGGUUCCAGAUUCUUCGUGUGCUUGUAGAUAUCCCACCGUGGUGUGUACAGGACAUGGGCAAGAAAGCUGUGUGUUUGAGUGACAGCCCAUAAUUGGCUGAUCUGUUACAUUUUCCGUUACAAAAUUGUUCCCGGAUAAUUUUAUUUUAAAUAAUUAAAUAAAGGAUGAGAUAAAUUGCAAUAAAA
Long non-coding RNA from Spea bombifrons (plains spadefoot toad), 503 nucleotides. RefSeq lists it as uncharacterized. Lineage: Eukaryota; Metazoa; Chordata; Amphibia; Anura; Pelobatidae. The transcript is spliced from 2 exons. The record is from RefSeq and is a predicted model, not a curated record.